RNAcentral lists this ribosomal RNA (253 nucleotides) under uncultured bacterium. RNAcentral describes it as "partial 16S ribosomal RNA". It matches the Rfam family "Bacterial small subunit ribosomal RNA", at positions 524 to 776 of the family's 1533-position model. The record is from RNAcentral.
UACGUAGGCAGCAAGCGUUGUUCGGAGUUACUGGGCGUAAAGGGUCUGUAGGUGGCCAACUAAGUCAGACGUGAAAUCCCUCAGCUUAACUGGGGAACUGCGUCUGAUACUGGAUGGCUUGAGUGUGGGAGAGGAAUGCGGAAUUCCUGGUGUAGCGGUGAAAUGCGCAGAUAUCAGGAGGAACACCGGUGGCGAAGGCGGGUCUCUGGGCCGAAACUGACGCUGAGGAGCGAAAGCGUGGGGAGCGAACAGG